UCCCAUGGAGAAGAGAAUGGCAACUCACUGCAGUAGUCUUGCCUUGAGAAUUCCAUGGACAGAGGAGCCUGGCAGGCCACAGUCCAUGGUCCUCAAAGAGUCGGACACGACUGAGCAACUAACACCCUGAGGCACCGGUGGCACCUCCGUGUAACAAGGCUGUUGGAUGAGCUAAGUCCAUCAGAGCUGGAAAGAUGCAGAAACCGACUUCUUUAGGAGUCUGAAACUUAACUUACCUCCAGGCCUUUGGGGAGACUUAUCUGGUGACCUGCAGUCACUGGCCGGAGGCUUUCAGAUACAGUGGACGUGAGCACAGACUAACCGCUGGGAGCUGUGCCAGAGCCGGGGCCCCCGCUCUCCCUGCACGUCGCGCUCGGUGAGUGAAUGCGGGCGGUGGCAGAAUGGGACCUGGCACUCCUGGGCUCAGCGACUCUCUUCUCUGAGGGCCCCAGGCCCUUUAAACUCUCCAGCCAGACAUGGCAGCAAGAAUGAAUGCGCACUUCCAGCCCAACUGCUUUUCAAUGAAGAGUUUUAUUAGAAGGGCACUUACAGGAGGAAGAGAGGAGAGAGGACACAUUUAACAAUAGGGGUACAAUGCUUAAACAGGUGCUCAGCUCUUAAGAUACAAAAGUUAGAAAAAUCUAAAACACUA
Long non-coding RNA from Bubalus bubalis (water buffalo), 652 nucleotides. RefSeq lists it as uncharacterized. The record is from RefSeq and is a predicted model, not a curated record. The transcript has 2 exons. NCBI's taxonomy places the organism in Eukaryota, Metazoa, Chordata, Mammalia, Artiodactyla, Bovidae.